RNAcentral lists this ribosomal RNA (253 nucleotides) under uncultured bacterium. RNAcentral describes it as "partial 16S ribosomal RNA". It matches the Rfam family "Bacterial small subunit ribosomal RNA", at positions 524 to 776 of the family's 1533-position model. The record is from RNAcentral.
UACGUAGGGUGCGAGCGUUGUCCGGAAUUAUUGGGCGUAAAGAGCUUGUAGGCGGUCUGUCGCGUCUGCUGUGAAAAUCCGGGGCUCAACCCCGGACUUGCAGUGGGUACGGGCAGACUAGAGUGUGGUAGGGGAGACUGGAAUUCCUGGUGUAGCGGUGAAAUGCGCAGAUAUCAGGAGGAACACCGAUGGCGAAGGCAGGUCUCUGGGCCACCACUGACGCUGAGAAGCGAAAGCUGGGGGAGCGAACAGG